AACGAACGCUGGCGGCAGGCUUAACACGUGCAAGUCGAACGCAUCCUUCGGGGUGAGUGGCAGACGGGUGAGUAACGCGUGGGAACGUGCCCUUCAGUUCGGGAUAACCCAGGGAAACUUGGGCUAAUACCGGAUACGUUCGAGAGCAGAAAGAUUUAUCGCCGAAGGAUCACCCCGCGUCUGAUUAGCUAGUUUGUGGGGUAAUGGCCCACCAAGGCGACGAUCAGUAACAGGUCUGAGAGGAUGAUCAGCCAACUUGGGACUGAGACACGGCCCAAACUCCGACGGGAGGCAGCAGUGGGGAAUAUUGGACAAUGGGCGCAAGCCUGAUCCAGCCAUGCCGCGUGAGUGAUGAAGGCCUUAGGGUUGUAAAGCUCUUUUAGUAGGGAAGAAGCGAAAGUGACGGUACCUGCAGAAAAAGCACCGGCUAACUACGUGCCAGCCGCCGCCGUAA
Molecule: ribosomal RNA, 454 nt
Filed under: uncultured bacterium
Lineage: Bacteria
Description: partial 16S ribosomal RNA
Rfam family: Bacterial small subunit ribosomal RNA
Source: RNAcentral